CAUAGGAUGCUAGUAAAUGGUACUUGAUUUAAUUUUGGAUUCAAACACCCAUUGAAGUCAAUGGAAGUCUUUUAACUGACAAAAUGGAAUCUGCAUUGAAGUUCCUAAGAAUAAAGAAGAGGCAAAAAAAAAAAAGGAAGAAAGGAAUAGUGGUAAUGUGCAAAAAACCCCACAGAAGAUUCUUGAUGCUAGUGUUGCAGUUUAUCAUAAAGAGUGGUUCUCAUCUGCGUUUGAGUGGGGGACAUCACUCCUCGUCUUAGGUAAAGCUAGGUGCAGAAACCUGGACAUCUUACUGCACUAUAUUCCAUUAAUGAUCAUUUAUGGCAGGCCCUUUUCCUGCCUUACUUGUGUAACAGUAGUAGCCCAAAGAAUACUCUGUUUUUUUCCUGUUGUAUACUUCCUCUGAUCUUUCUGGGAUAUUUGAAUAUAAUGUAGCAACAACUGUUUUAAGACUUUCACAAUUUUCAAAGUCUGUUCUUGAAAUCAGCUGUUACUAGGGAAAUAGUGGAAUAAAGCAGAGAGAUUUAUGUAGCAACAUUCAAAGAAUGAGCUUAAAGUAUAG
Molecule: long non-coding RNA, 562 nt
Filed under: Amazona collaria (yellow-billed parrot)
Lineage: Eukaryota; Metazoa; Chordata; Aves; Psittaciformes; Psittacidae
Description: lncRNA (ENSACOG00000002980.1)
Source: RNAcentral